CACAACUAUGACCUUUGGCACAGCUCUUUUUUUCCACUUAUUUUUCACACACAUUUUCAAUCUCAUUUGUAAUAUUUCAUAUAGCGUAUAAUGAACAAAGGGCAAUAUUCUCACUCUCUGCCUCACUAAUUUUUAACUCAUUCCCUGCCACUGCUGUCCAAAGAUGUCAUUCAGAAUCGAGCUAUUCCUUGCCAAUCCCAUCUAAAGACGGCAAUGGCUUUUUUUUUUUAACGGGGAUGAGUGGGGGAGGGUCUUGUGGAGUUUAUGUGUGAUCGUCAAGCCUCUGGAUAACUCCAAUGAGAAUGGCACCCUGUAGAGGGCAACAAUGCAUUGAGGUGAACAAGAGGAAGAAGAAGAAGAAGGCGGGGUGCAAGAGACGAUGAGAAGAGGCAAGUAUAAUGGCGGAAAAGAGAGAAGACAAAAUGAAAAAAAUCGAGAAAAAAAAAAGCUUUCGGUACUAGAAAUUUACUGCGCCAAGGCAAGAAAAAUAUUCCUGCGACCGACAGGAAUGACGCUUUAUUUAGUCAGGUGUGUCAAACAAAUUUUUUUCUCGGGGCGCAUUGUAGUUAUGAUUUCCCUCAGCCGGCCAUUAGAACAGUGAAAUCAUAUAAAUGUUUAAUCACCUAAUCAUAUUAUUACCAUUACACAAAAAAUUGAGGGCUAACUAGUUUUGAACUCAGAAGACAAGAAUAAUAGAUUGUUCAAGUAUUGUUUAAGUUACUGUAGAAGAAGGGUUUGGUUCCAGAAAAAAUGCAAUAUCUCAACAUAACUGUUAAUUAUUAUGACAAUUUGGAAUUUGGGUACAGAUUUUCGCAAAAAUCACAGAAGUUGACGAGCAUGAUUUGCUUUCGCGGACCACAUAGAAUAAUGUGGCGGGCCGCAUCUGGCCCCUAGGCCUUGAGUUUGACACCUAUGCUUAGCUCAUGCAAGGGAAUAAAGGAUGACAUUCUGAGCCGAUCGCUGUGUUGCAAAGCUAUCGCCCAAAAUGCUGGGGCGAGAUGCUCUCGGCACCUUGCCAGCUGAUCGUCUGCCGACCAGGAUUUGAGUACCGUAUUUUCACGACCAUAAGGCGCACCGUAUUAAAAGGCGCAGUCUCAGUUACGGGGUCUAUUUCUGUAUUUAACACAUACAUAAGGUGCACCGUAUUAUUGGGUGCAGGCAUGGUAAAACAUACGCUAGCUUAAAACAUACGGUAGCAUGCAUGCACACUAAAACAUAUGCUAGCAUGCAUGCUAGCAUAUGUUUUUAAAAAGGCAGCGGCAGCAAAACUGAGUUUGGUUGUACUUUAUUGAAGUAUUUAACGUUAUUUUUUGAUCAAUCCUCAUCCACAAAUCCAUCAAAGUCCUCAUCUUCUGUAUCCGAAAUGAACAGCUGGGCAAGUUCUCCAUCAAACAUGCCGGGUUCCCUCUCGUCAUUGUCGGAGUCAGUCUCGUUGCCAGGGGGGGGCUGUUCAGCAAUGAUGCUUCUCCCGGCUGUUCUUAGAUCAUUAAUCUAUUGCUCGAGUUGGUCUUCCAACUCGGGCCACCUCGCCUUGUUUCCGCGGAAACUCAGCAUUGUCUUCUUGACUUGGCGAAGCUCGUUUUCCUGCUUCCUCCACUUGCGAACCAUGGAUCCGUUGGUCUUGAAUUCUCUCACGGCUGCUCGAUUCCCAUGUUCCUCCGCGUAACUGAUAGCUUGCAGUUUAAACUGUGCUUCGUAAGCGUGUCUCUUCGUAGGUGCCAUUUUCGGGGGUCCUUGGCCAAACCGAUGUUGUUUUGCACAAUGCACAUACCAGCACUAUAUAUCUGCUGGGGGCGUGCCUUUAGCGUCUUCUUUCAUGCGCACCCUUCCCCCUUUAAUGUCUGCAUGCUGUCCUCAGUCACGUCCGCAUUUCUUCUCUAUAUAAGCAGCGUGUCGGCAGGAAAUUCUCCCAGUCAGUCAAGCGGCGCGCUCAUCAAAGCAACAAACAACAUUUACAGAUUUCGGAACUCGGUGCACACAUCAGGCGCCCGUCCAUUUUGGAGAAAAUUUAAGACUUUUAAGUGCGCCUUAUGGUCGUGAAAAUACGGUAAAUGGGAUCCGGAAUCGUCAGACGAGUGAACUCCCUCUGGAUCGCCUGGAAGCAGCAGAGCUUCAUCCGGAGCUUCCUCCGGCUGAUAAAUGGAGACAAAGGUAACUCAUUUGCAACUCUCGUUAGCUAUAUUUAGCGAACAAACAUGCUCCUCAAUCCUUGCUACAUAAAAAUAAUUUAGUCCCACUAGUUUACAUUACAAUGUAACAUCUGUUACCAGUACUGAUUUGAAUUUUCCAUUUCUAGCUCGUCCAUCUUGCAGUAAUGGAACACCUGCAAGGCGAACGUCAUUUAGGAUUGCAACGAAGAAAAGUUGUGCUUCGAGCAGAAGUAGGGACUGGUUUCAAGGACAAUGACAACCACACAAGAUCCCGUUCACCGCCACCUAAGAAUAAAAUCCAGAUGUGGAUAAAACGUUGCUAGAUUUUAUGCGCAAGGUAAUAAAAACGUGGACUAUUGAGCAAAAGGCAGAGGAGGAGAAUUACGAGCAAGAAAGUGCAAGUGUGGAGCCCCAUUUGUUCAUGGAUAUUCUGUACAUAGUUUUACAUGUAAAUAAAAUUUUAUGUCAAAAGUA
This is a long non-coding RNA of Phyllopteryx taeniolatus (common seadragon), 2624 nucleotides long. RefSeq lists it as uncharacterized. The transcript has 2 exons. The record is from RefSeq and is a predicted model, not a curated record. NCBI's taxonomy places the organism in Eukaryota, Metazoa, Chordata, Actinopteri, Syngnathiformes, Syngnathidae.